UGCGGAAGAGAUAAGUGCUGAAAGCAUCUAAGCACGAAACUUGCCCCGAGAUGAGUUCUCCCUGAGACUUUAAGUCUCCUGAAGGAACGUUGAAGACGACGACGUUGAUAGGUCGGGUGUGUAAGCGCAGCGAUGCGUUGAGCUAACCGAUACUAAUGAACCGUGAGGCUUAACCUU
This 177-nucleotide ribosomal RNA is filed under the name Enterobacter kobei. RNAcentral's name for it is "partial 23S ribosomal RNA". It matches the Rfam family "Bacterial large subunit ribosomal RNA", at positions 2754 to 2925 of the family's 2925-position model. RNAcentral also lists the same sequence under 1 other name. The record is from RNAcentral. Lineage: Bacteria; Pseudomonadati; Pseudomonadota; Gammaproteobacteria; Enterobacterales; Enterobacteriaceae.